GCUAGCAGCAUACCACCCUGCAUCCCACUGCUGGCUUGCUUCUGAAGCUAAGCAGGGUUGGUCAUGGUCAUGGUCAGUCCCUAGAUGGGAGACCAGAUGCUGCUGGAA
This 108-nucleotide ribosomal RNA is filed under the name Hucho hucho (huchen). Lineage: Eukaryota; Metazoa; Chordata; Actinopteri; Salmoniformes; Salmonidae. The record is from RNAcentral.